GCGGAUGUGGUGGAAUUGGUAGACACGCUGGUCUUAGAAGCCAGUGCUUCGGCUUGGGAGUUCGAGUCUCCCCAUCCGCA
Molecule: transfer RNA, 80 nt
Organism: Janthinobacterium sp. KBS0711
Lineage: Bacteria; Pseudomonadati; Pseudomonadota; Betaproteobacteria; Burkholderiales; Oxalobacteraceae
Rfam family: tRNA
About the family: Transfer RNA (tRNA) molecules are approximately 80 nucleotides in length. Their secondary structure includes four short double-helical elements and three loops (D, anti-codon, and T loops).
Source: Rfam